GCAGGUUCAUGUAUGGCCCCGAAACUCCUGGGCCACACGCGGGCUGCAAUGGUAGGGACAAUAGGUUCCGACCUCGAAAGAGGAAGGCAAUCCCCAAACCCUACCCCAGUUGUGAUCGAGGAUUGAAACCCGUCCUCGUGAAUAUGGAAUCCCUAGUAACCGCGUGUCAUCAACCGCGCGGUGAAUAACGUCCCUGCUCCUUGCACAACACCGCCCGUCGCUUCAACCUCGAGUUGGGUCAGGACGAGGUCAUCUACAUGUUGUGGUGAUCGAUCUGU
Molecule: ribosomal RNA, 278 nt
Filed under: uncultured Thermoproteales archaeon
Lineage: Archaea; Thermoproteati; Thermoproteota; Thermoprotei; Thermoproteales
Description: partial 16S ribosomal RNA
Rfam family: Archaeal small subunit ribosomal RNA
Source: RNAcentral